CCAGGUCCUGGAGCGCUGGUGCACGUCCCCACGGACCAUCGAGGUCCUGAUGAACACCUACAGUGUCCUGCAGCUUCCCGAGGAGGCCAUGGGCCUGGUGCCUCCUGAAACUCUGAAGAAGCACCAGCACUUCUACUCUUCCCUCUUCGCCCUGGUGAGGCAGCCCCGGUCACUGCAGCACCUGAGCCGCUGCGCGCUACGUGCCCACCUGGCAGGCUGCCUGCCCCACGCCCUGCCCCGCCUUCCACUGCCACCCCGCCUGCUCCGCUACCUGCAGCUUGACUUUGAGGAUGUGCUCUACUAGGCAGGGGUGGAUGCUUCAAUCCCCACCUGAAAGGGGCAGACAAAUCACACAUCCAAGUGACAUCUGAUGAAGACAGCAAGUGGGCCACUCCUCUCCAAGCACCCUCUAGCCUGGAUGUGCAUUAAAAGUCUCCAGGCCAAGCUGGCAGUGGUGGUGCACACCUGUAAUCUCAGCAAUUUGGAAGGCUGACACAGGAGGACUGCAAGUUCGAGACCAGCC
Molecule: non-coding RNA, 523 nt
Organism: Urocitellus parryii (Arctic ground squirrel)
Lineage: Eukaryota; Metazoa; Chordata; Mammalia; Rodentia; Sciuridae
Source: RefSeq, a predicted model, not a curated record